Molecule: ribosomal RNA, 496 nt
Filed under: uncultured bacterium
Lineage: Bacteria
Description: partial 16S ribosomal RNA
Rfam family: Bacterial small subunit ribosomal RNA
Source: RNAcentral
GACGAACGCUGGCGGCGUGCCUGAUACAUGCAAGUUGAGCGCUGAAGGUUGGUACUUGUACCAACUGGAUGAGCAGCGAACGGGUGAGUAACGCGUGGGGAAUCUGCCUUUGAGCGGGGGACAACAUUUGGAAACGAAUGCUAAUACCGCAUAAAAACUUUAAACACAAGUUUUAAGUUUGAAAGAUGCAAUUGCAUCACUCAAAGAUGAUCCCGCGUUGUAUUAGCUAGUUGGUGAGGUAAAGGCUCACCAAGGCGAUGAUACAUAGCCGACCUGAGAGGGUGAUCGGCCACAUUGGGACUGAGACACGGCCCAAACUCCUACGGGAGGCAGCAGUAGGGAAUCUUCGGCAAUGGACGAAAGUCUGACCGAGCAACGCCGCGUGAGUGAAGAAGGUUUUCGGAUCGUAAAACUCUGUUGGUAGAGAAGAACGUUGGUGAGAGUGGAAAGCUCAUCAAGUGACGGUAACUACCCAGAAAGGGACGGCUAACUACGU